RNAcentral lists this ribosomal RNA (327 nucleotides) under uncultured Acidobacteriota bacterium. RNAcentral describes it as "bacterial SSU rRNA". It matches the Rfam family "Bacterial small subunit ribosomal RNA", at positions 32 to 351 of the family's 1533-position model. The record is from RNAcentral. Lineage: Bacteria; Pseudomonadati; Acidobacteriota.
AAUCAACGCUGGCGGCGUGCCUAACACAUGCAAGUCGAACGAGAAAGUGGGGGCAACUCCAUGAGUAAAGUGGCAGACGGGUGAGUAACACGUGAACAACCUACCCUCGAGUGGGGAAUAACACCGCGAAAGCGGUGCUAAUACCGCAUAAUAUCUCCGGGUUGCAUGAUCUGGAGAUCAAAAGCGCAAGUUGCUUGAGGAGGGGUUCGCGCCUGAUUAGCUAGUUGGUGAGGUAACGGCCCACCAAGGCAACGAUCAGUAGCCGGCCUGAGAGGGCGAACGGCCACACUGGAACUGAGACACGGUCCAGACUCCUACGGGUGGCUG